Molecule: ribosomal RNA, 442 nt
Filed under: uncultured bacterium
Lineage: Bacteria
Description: bacterial SSU rRNA
Rfam family: Bacterial small subunit ribosomal RNA
Source: RNAcentral
AACGCGAAGAACCUUACCUGGGCUCGAAAUGCUAUGGACAGUCCGUGAAAGCGGAUCUUCCCCUUAAAAGGACCGUAGUAUAGGUGCUGCAUGGCUGUCGUCAGCUCGUGUCGUGAGAUGUUGGGUUAAGUCCCGCAACGAGCGCAACCCUUGUCCUGUGUUGCCAUCAUUCAGUUGGGAACUCGCAGGAGACCGCCAGCGAUAAGCUGGAGGAAGGUGGGGAUGACGUCAAGUCCUCAUGGCCUUUAUGUCCAGGGCUACACACGUGCUACAAUGGUCGGUACAAACCGUCGCAAACCCGCGAGGGGGAGCUAAUCGGAAAAAGCCGACCUCAGUUCGGAUUGGAGUCUGCAACUCGACUCCAUGAAGCUGGAAUCGCUAGUAAUCGCGGAUCAGAACGCCGCGGUGAAUACGUUCCCGGGCCUUGUACACACCGCGCAUA